GAACAUCCUCCGAGCGAAAGCAUCUAAAGCCUGGCCAUGAUGCUGAGCCUGGGCGCGAUUGCGUCCACAGGGUUUGGGGAGAAAUCCCCGGGCCUUCCGUGUUUGAAAAGGAGCGAAGUG
Molecule: non-coding RNA, 120 nt
Filed under: uncultured Mitsuokella sp.
Lineage: Bacteria; Bacillati; Bacillota; Negativicutes; Selenomonadales; Selenomonadaceae
Description: Moco (molybdenum cofactor) riboswitch
Rfam family: Molybdenum/Tungsten riboswitch aptamer (Moco RNA motif) (bases 8-113)
Source: RNAcentral